CCCUGUAUUCGAAAGUGAUCGUGGGCUGCCUGUGUGUGCCCUGGUCAUUGAUAGUGCAGGGAGAGGAAGCCGAAAGCCUUUCCCCGUGUUUGGAGGAUCCACAGCUGUCCUUGCCAAACCCUGGUGCUUUCCCACA
This is a small nucleolar RNA of Psammomys obesus (fat sand rat), 136 nucleotides long. RefSeq annotates it as small nucleolar RNA SNORA71. The record is from RefSeq and is a predicted model, not a curated record. The transcript has a single exon. Lineage: Eukaryota; Metazoa; Chordata; Mammalia; Rodentia; Muridae.